GAAAGUUCACAAUGGUUUGAUAACCACAUUUAAGAUGAUGAUCUGAGCUUCUUCCAAUUUUCUAGCAACGUCACCGGGCCAGACAGGGAGCAAUAUACCCCUGGUAUCUGCUUUUAUCACAUUUGACAGUACC
Sorex araneus (European shrew) is the source of this 133-nucleotide non-coding RNA. Lineage: Eukaryota; Metazoa; Chordata; Mammalia; Eulipotyphla; Soricidae. The record is from Rfam.